CCUGCUUUUUCGCCUUCCGUCCUCCGGUCUGAGGACAUGGACCCCUGCUGCCCUCUGGAGGAGAGGGUGUGGACGCCCCCACCCCGGACUGUCCCGAUCGACCGGCCCACUCCUUUAAAAGGACCCGACGUCGUCUCUGGCCACUGCAGCUGCGCUUCCCCAGGAGUAGAGCACCGGCGUGCACCUCCCCCCUCGACUGCUGCCCACCUUUCUCUCCCUUUCUCACAAGUAGCUGAAGACACGCCCCUUCCGGCUGCUCGCCCUGCUGCUCUCACCGGCGUUCAAAACAUUCGGCGCGUUACUCUGCUUGGUGUUGUGUAGCCACAUUUGGGUUGCUAAAGAGGCUGUGUACCUGUGGUCGGGACGUGGUGUCGUCGGUGGUGGUGGUGGUCCCCCUCCCCGUGUGAAGUGUGAACCCUGGUGUUUUUGUUUUGCACGUGUGUGUGAUCUAUUUAUUUUUUUCUUUAUUCACUUGGUGACCUCUCCCUGGGCCCUGUUCCUCCCCUCCGUCGACACACCGCCACAUGGUAAGCAGACCUCUGACCCUUUGCACCCCUUUUAUCCUUAUUUUAUCAUGUGUUAAUUGAUUUUAAUUAGUGGUGUAAAUAAAAUUGGAUUAUUGUACGGGAACAACACGUCUCUCGCUUCAUGAUAUAUGGACCUGUGUGCCUCAACGUGCUUUUAAGAGGCAAAGACUUUCCUUGGGGGCUCUCUCCCCAAGGUGGCGUUGUCAAGCUCCACUUAGAAGUUAGCCCUCCUAGCUGCUACGGCGCUCGCCACACUGUGUAAUGUUGGUGGUGGUCAGAGGGGUUGUAGGAGUGGAUUGGCAGCCAGUUAGUCUGCCCCAGGGCAGCUGUGGCUAAAAAUGUAGGUCUACCAGCUAUAGUGCACUGCAAAACACUGAAAUACAGCGAUUAGAGGUAGAAAUAAAUAAAUUAAACUAAGUUCUACAAUAGUGAAAAACCUAUACAUCUUUCUGGGGUCAUAAGUGACCCCAGACAAGUUUCCAUUAUCCUUGUCACACCAGUUGGCCGAUCUCUACAAAAAACUAUGAGCAGCUGUAGGACAAGUAGAUUGACAAAUUCAUGGUAGGAAACAUUUUUCGGAUAAAAGAUAUAAAAACGGCAAAUAUAAUUAUAUUGCUGGGGUCAUAAAUGACCCCACUCGGUCGC
Molecule: long non-coding RNA, 1172 nt
Organism: Acanthochromis polyacanthus (spiny chromis)
Lineage: Eukaryota; Metazoa; Chordata; Actinopteri; Pomacentridae
Exons: 3
Source: RefSeq, a predicted model, not a curated record